Molecule: long non-coding RNA, 272 nt
Filed under: Ananas comosus (pineapple)
Lineage: Eukaryota; Viridiplantae; Streptophyta; Magnoliopsida; Poales; Bromeliaceae
Description: long non-coding RNA (ACOM_LNC003724)
Source: RNAcentral
CGGCGACUGCAAAUUUCAUCCGACUUUUAAUCCAAUUGAAAUUUUAAUUUACAUUUUAGUCUGUGAAAUGACCGUUGUACUUUAAAAACUUAAACCGUUAGAAAACGAUAUUUAUAUAUUUUUACAUUUAACACUCCUCUCGCGUCUGAAUCUAGUAUCAUGUGAAACGAUUAUUGUACUAUAAAAAUUUAAGCAGUUAGAGAAUGACAUUUAUAUAUUUUUAUAUUUAACACGGUCUGCUCUACCUCCUUUGCCGCAUUAUUACUGCGUUC